UCAUCUCCAGUUCCGUUGGGUCACGGGCAUUCACAAUUUUCUUCAACUGGGUCACCAGAAAAAAAGUUUGAAAACCACUGCUUUAUGGACCACAUGUUUGACACAACUG
This is a non-coding RNA of Chelonoidis abingdonii (Abingdon island giant tortoise), 109 nucleotides long. NCBI's taxonomy places the organism in Eukaryota, Metazoa, Chordata, Testudines, Testudinidae. The record is from RefSeq and is a predicted model, not a curated record.